RNAcentral lists this microRNA precursor (111 nucleotides) under Phlebotomus papatasi. RNAcentral describes it as "microRNA mir-186". Lineage: Eukaryota; Metazoa; Arthropoda; Insecta; Diptera; Psychodidae. The record is from RNAcentral.
UUGAGAACAAUUUUCGUCAAAAAUUGCUUUUUUGAAGGAAAUUGGAUGCAGUGCUGUAAGCAGAAACGUCAAAAUUCUGCCAAAAAUGCAAUUUUUGACGAAAAUUUCUCC